GCCUGAGGGAGAGGAGCAGGGAAGAUGGCUGUGGUGGAGAAUGUAGUGAAGCUCCUUGGGGAGCAGUACUACAGAGAUGCCAUGGAACAGUGCCACAAUUACAACGCCCACCUCUGUGCUGAGCGGAGUGUGCACCUGCCUUUCUUGGACUCACAGACUGGAGUAGCCCAGAGCAAUUGUUAUAUCUGGAUGGAAAAGCGACACCGGGGACCAAGAUUGGCCUCUGGACAGUUGUACUCCUACCCUGCCCGCCAAAAGCGUCGAGCCCACCCACCUGAGGAUCCUAGGCUUUCCUUUCCAUCUAUUAAACCAGACACAGACCAGACCCUGAAGAAAGAGGGUCUUAUCUCUCAGGAUGGUCGCAGUUUAGAGGCUCUGUUGCGUACUGACCCUCUGGAGAAACGAGGUGCUCCAGAGCCCUGUGUUGAUGAUGACAGCCUGGGUGAGUUUCCUGUUACCAACAGUCGAGCCCGGAAGCGGAUCCUUGAACCUGAUGACUUCCUAGAUGACCUUGAUGAGGAGGACUAUGAAGAAGAUAUCCAAAGCGUCGGGGAAAGGGGAAGUCCAAGAGUAAGGGUGUGAGCAGUGCCCGGAAGAAACUGGAUGCUUCCAUCCUGGAGGACCGAGAUAAGCCUGUGACAUUUGUGGAAAACGCUACAAGAACCGACCUGGCCUCAGUUACCACUAUGCCCAUUCCCACCUGGCUGAGGAGGAAAGAGAGGACAAAGAAGACUCUCAACCACCCACUCCUGUUUCCCAGAGGUCUGAGGAACAGAAAUCCAAGAAAGGACCUGAUGGAUUAGCCCUGCCCAACAACUACUGUGACUUCUGCCUGGGGGACUCAAAAAUCAACAAGAAGACAGGGCAGCCUAAGGAGAUAGUGUCCUGUUCUGAGUGUGGCCGCUCAGGGCAUCCGUCCUGCCUGCAGUUCACCCCUGUGAUGAUGGCGGCUGUGAAGACCUACCGCUGCAACCUCUGCGGCACCUCGGAGAAUGACGACCAGCUGCUUUUCUGUGAUGAAUGUGACCGUGGCUACCACAUGUACUUUCUCACCCCAUCCAUGUCUGAACCUCCUGAAGGAAGGUGGAGCUGCCACCUGUGUCUGGAUCUGCUGAAGGAGAAAGCAUCCAUCUACCAGCACCAGAACAACUCCUGAUGUGCCGCCCAGCUCCCCACACAUCUAAGGCUGUUGCUCUCCUCUACCUUGGUUUUCAUACCCCUCUUCUUCCUUCACUCUGGUAGUCCUGCCAACCUGCCUUUGGCAACAGCACAGGGAGGUGGCACCUCUGGCUGCCUCUGGCCCCGAGCCCUCAGGGAGUAAGGAGCCGCACGCUGCCCCAGGGCUGACCUGUGGGCCCAACUUCUCUCUGUUCUCCAAGAAGUGCAUUCACUCUGCUUGCCUUAGGCCCAAGUCCCUGGUAAUCACAGGGUUCAAAUGGGGUCCUCUGAGAAGGAAUAUGAGGACAGCUCACUUAUUUCAAGCUGGCCUAGUCCCCCUUCCGGUUUCCAAAAGCCCCAGGGGGUAAGCCAGGCCCAGCCUUUGCUGGGAGCAGCUGGAGUGAUCAGGCUGAGAUGGCACUUACUAGGACCUUUCCAUACCCCUUGUUCUGCUUCACUUUGCCUCUGCCAAAGCAGUCCUGUGUCCUCGGUCAUGCUACAAGGGUCCUGUGCUUGAACUGGGAUGGUCUCAGGCACCUCCUGGCCAUGUCCUGUCCUGCCCAGUCCCACAGAGGCAAGCAGCUUCACCUGUGCUUGGCUGGCUCACUCACAGGUGGUCUCUGGCAAUCCAGGCAUUUCCUAUCCUCAGAGCUUCCGUCUUCUGCCUCCUUCCUUAUUCCUUUUGGUUUUGUGGGGAGAGGGACGAUGUCAGGGGGCUGUGCCAGCAGCUUGGGGGCCACAAGGAGAAGUUGGAUAAUGUGCCUGUUUUUUAACUCCAUAAAGCCUACCUCCAAAAUCCCCUUUUCGUUCUUCCUGAACCUGGGCAUUCAGCCACCUGCCCUCAACUGAGUCAGGAGCCUCUGCCUCCUG
Molecule: non-coding RNA, 2028 nt
Organism: Peromyscus maniculatus bairdii (prairie deer mouse)
Lineage: Eukaryota; Metazoa; Chordata; Mammalia; Rodentia; Cricetidae
Source: RefSeq, a predicted model, not a curated record